RNAcentral lists this ribosomal RNA (732 nucleotides) under uncultured Bacillota bacterium. RNAcentral describes it as "bacterial SSU rRNA". It matches the Rfam family "Bacterial small subunit ribosomal RNA", at positions 71 to 781 of the family's 1533-position model. Lineage: Bacteria; Bacillati; Bacillota. The record is from RNAcentral.
AAAGUGGAGCAAUCCAUGAGUAGAGUGGCAAACGGGUAAGUAACGCGUGGGCGACCUACCUUCGAGUGGGGGAUAACAUUCCGAAAGGAGUGCUAAUACCGCAUGACAUCCCGUGUUUGGAUACACGGACAUCAAAGCCGGGGAUCGCAAGACCUGGCGCUUGGAGAGGGGCCCGCGUCCGAUUAGCUAGUUGGCGAGGUAACGGCUCACCAAGGCUUCGAUCGGUAUCCGGCCUGAGAGGGCGGACGGACACACUGGGACUGAGACACGGCCCAGACUCCUACGGGAGGCAGCAGUGGGGAAUUGUUCGCAAUGGGCGCAAGCCUGACGACGCAACGCCGCGUGGAGGAUGAAGACCUUCGGGUCGUAAACUCCUUUCGACCGAGAUGAAUUCUCGCCGACCUAACACGUCGGCGGGGUGACAGUAUCGAGGGAAGCAGCCCCGGCUAACUCCGUGCCAGCAGCCGCGGUAAUACGGGGGGGGCAAGCGUUGUUCGGAAUUACUGGGCGUAAAGGGUUCGUAGGUGGCUCGCUAAGCCAGACGUGAAAUCCCUCAGCUUAACUGGGGAACUGCGUCUGGGACUGGAGAGCUCGAGUGCAGGAAAGGAAUGCGGAAUUCCAGGUGUAGCGGUGAAAUGCGUAAAUAUCUGGAGGAACACCGGUUGGCGAAGGCGGCAUUCUGGACUGCAACUGACACUGAGGAACGAAAGCCAGGGGAGCAAACGGGAAUUA